RNAcentral lists this non-coding RNA (23 nucleotides) under Arabidopsis thaliana (thale cress). The record is from RNAcentral. Lineage: Eukaryota; Viridiplantae; Streptophyta; Magnoliopsida; Brassicales; Brassicaceae.
GCCAUGUUAUCUAAGUUUCUAAC